UCCCAGACUCCUACGGGAGGCAGCAGUGAGGAAUAUUGGUCAAUGGUCGGGAGACUGAACCAGCCAAGCCGCGUGAGGGAUGAAGGUACAGAGUAUCGUAAACCUCUUUUGUCAGGGAACAAAGGCGGGGACGCGUCCCCGGAUGAGUGUACCUGAAGAAAAAGCAUCGGCUAACUCCGUGCCAGCAGCCGCGGUAAUACGGAGGAUGCGAGCGUUAUCCGGAUUUAUUGGGUUUAAAGGGUGCGUAGGCGGACUGGAAAGUCAGCGGUAAAAUCGGGAGGCUCAACCUCUGUCCGCCGUUGAAACUGGCUUGCUAGAGUGGGCGAGAAGUAUGCGGAAUGCGUGGUGUAGCGGUGAAAUGCAUAGAUAUCACGCAGAACUCCGAUUGCGAAGGCAGCAUACCGGCGCCCAACUGACGCUCAGGCACGAAAGCGUGGGUAUCGAACAGGAUUAGAUACCCGAGUA
Molecule: ribosomal RNA, 465 nt
Filed under: uncultured bacterium
Lineage: Bacteria
Description: bacterial SSU rRNA
Rfam family: Bacterial small subunit ribosomal RNA
Source: RNAcentral